CAGCAGCCGCGGUAAUACGAAGGGGGCUAGCGUUGUUCGGAUUUACUGGGCGUAAAGGGCGCGUAGGCGGACUGAUAAGUCAGGGGUGAAAUCCCAAGGCUCAACCUUGGAACUGCCUUUGAUACUGUUUGUCUUGAGUUCGAGAGAGGUAAGUGGAACUGCGAGUGUAGAGGUGAAAUUCGUAGAUAUUGGAAAGAACACCGGUGGCGAAGGCGGCGACCAGGUCUUUAACUGACGCUGAGGCGCGAAAGCGUGGGGAGCAAACAGGAUUAGAUACCCCUGUAGUCCCUGUCUCUUAUAC
RNAcentral lists this ribosomal RNA (301 nucleotides) under uncultured bacterium. RNAcentral describes it as "partial 16S ribosomal RNA". It matches the Rfam family "Bacterial small subunit ribosomal RNA", at positions 509 to 807 of the family's 1533-position model. The record is from RNAcentral.